CAGCAGCCACGGUAAUACGUAGGUGGCAAGCGUUGUCCGGAAUUAUUGGGCGUAAAGGGCUCGCAGGCGGUUUCUUAAGUCUGAUGUGAAAGCCCCCGGCUCAACCGGGGAGAGUCAUUGGAAACUGGGAAACUUGAGUGCAGAAGAGGAGAGUGGAAUUCCACGUGUAGCGGUGAAAUGCGUAGAGGUGUGGAGGAACACCAGUGGCGAAGGCGACUCUCUGGUCUGUAACUGACGCUGAGGAGCGAAAGCGUGGGGAGCGAACAGGAUUAGAUACCCGUGUAGUCCCUGUCUCUUAUAC
RNAcentral lists this ribosomal RNA (301 nucleotides) under uncultured bacterium. RNAcentral describes it as "partial 16S ribosomal RNA". It matches the Rfam family "Bacterial small subunit ribosomal RNA", at positions 509 to 807 of the family's 1533-position model. The record is from RNAcentral.